AAUAAACACAGCUAUACGUUUUCGUGUCCAACUUUUAUCGUUCGUUUUAUUUUAAAUUUUAUAAUUAGUAUUUUUAUUGUUAUUAGAUUAUAAAACAUAAAUAAUAUUUUAUACUUGACUUAUGUUUUUAGUUUUUUUCAAAGAAAAUUAAACAAUAUGAAUGAUUAAAGUUGAAAACGAAAAUUUAUGACUGCACUUAUU
Molecule: microRNA precursor, 201 nt
Organism: Oryza sativa Indica Group (long-grained rice)
Lineage: Eukaryota; Viridiplantae; Streptophyta; Magnoliopsida; Poales; Poaceae
Rfam family: MIR812 microRNA precursor family
Source: Rfam